Molecule: ribosomal RNA, 253 nt
Filed under: uncultured bacterium
Lineage: Bacteria
Description: partial 16S ribosomal RNA
Rfam family: Bacterial small subunit ribosomal RNA
Source: RNAcentral
UACGUAGGGUGCGAGCGUUAAUCGGAAUUACUGGGCGUAAAGCGUGCGCAGGCGGUUCGUUAAGUCAGAUGUGAAAGCCCCGGGCUCAACCUGGGAACUGCAUUUGAAACUGGCGGGCUUGAGUGUGGCAGAGGGGGGUGGAAUUCCGCGUGUAGCAGUGAAAUGCGUAGAGAUGCGGAGGAACACCGGUGGCGAAGGCGGUUCUCUGGGCCUUACCUGACGCUGAGGAGCGAAAGCGUGGGGAGCAAACAGG